This 268-nucleotide ribosomal RNA is filed under the name uncultured bacterium. RNAcentral's name for it is "partial 16S ribosomal RNA". It matches the Rfam family "Bacterial small subunit ribosomal RNA", at positions 8 to 259 of the family's 1533-position model. The record is from RNAcentral.
AGAGUUUGAUCAUGGCUCAGAAUAAACGCUGGCGGCGUGCCUAACACAUGCAAGUCGUACGAGAAAGCCUGUUUUCGGACGGGCGAGUAAAGUGGCGCACGGGUGAGUAACGCGUAGGUAACCUGCCCCUGUGUUCGGGACAACAGUGCGAAAGCGCUGUUAAUACCGGAUGUGGCCAAGGAGCGGUGGCCCCUUGGUCAAAGUCGGCCUCUCGAAGAAGCUGGCGCACGGGGAUGGGCCUGCGUCCUAUCAGCUAGUUGGCAGGGUA